GAUGUACGAAACGAACAGAAUCCGGCCUGCUCUUUCAUAACUGCGUUGGCUCAGCAGGAAGUAAUGGUGUUCAAAACUUGCUUUCUCUUACUGAGUCUUGGAACAGCCUCCUGCACUGUGAGCAUUUUUGGAGGAGGAGAUGCCUGGGGCAGACUUCUCUAGAGAUCAUGAAAGAAAUGCAAUCAACCCCUUGUUUUCCAGUCACUGAAACCCAGCUAUCCUAUUUAUGGAUGUUUUAAAACAGCUAAAGUCACUGCAGUGUAACUGCCAGGAUUGGAUUCUGAGUAUCAUAUCUUGGCUCAUCUGCAGGUUUGGGGACAUCACAUUAAACAUCAUGGAUUUUGAUGACUGCCCUCUCUGCUUCCAGGGGAAUGCUUGAAGAGGCCAUGCGUGUUCUUUGACUUCUUCCAUCUCCUAGCCAACAGCAUAGCAUCUUCUAUCCUCUCUCACCUUCCACCUCUCUCCUAUAAAGAUGCUGGGAAAAAAAGGCUCAGUGUCUAAGCUUGCAGAAUAAGUGACAGAGCUGGUAUUCAAAUGAUCCUUUUGAUUGAAACUAUAUUUUAAUCACUCUGUGGUGUCACAAGCAAAAGAUUUGUCAGACGUGACUCCUGCCCUUCAAGAAACAAACAGAACACAAAGAAAACAAAAUGUCUAACGAGAUACUUUAUAGUUGCUGCAGAUGCAAAGUAUGUUAGGACACGAUCCUUUCAUGGACCUCUCACUGUAGGGCUGGGACAGACAUGACAACAUAUGACGUGUCCAAAGAGGGGUACAAAUAAGCUAUUUGGUUAUCACUAGUGUGAAGCACUUACCUGCCAGGAAAUAUCAAGAAAUUAUCUUUGGUGUUGAUAAGGUAUGCAACUUGAUGUUUUGAUGUAUGUGUACAUUGUGAAAUAAUCACCACGAUCAAGGUAACUUUUGACUACUUUCUUGAGAUCUUCACAUUGCUUCUGUAACAGAGCUAUACCAUACUGAAGAGAGCUUCGAAGUCAGAUAUACCUGGGUCAGUUUACCCCAUUUCCCAGCCAUGCUAUCGGGGAAAGUUACUUAACCUUUCGGUACCUCAAUUUUGUCAAUUGUGACAUGAGAAAAAUAAUGCGUACCCUUAGGUUGAUUUAAUAGCGCUUAUGUAGGACUGACAAGUGCUUGUGCAGCAAAGAUCUCAGUCAUCUGUAUUGCUUGUAUUUCUUUCCAUUUAUUCCCACGGAACAUUAUGUUUAUUAGUAUUUGAUAUUCUUGUAAUAUCCAGCAUUCUCUUUCCCUCACAUACUUUCUGGUCUCCUGUCCUAACUGGGAUAUGCUCCGCCUACUUGUUAAGCAGUAGUUGAGUGAUCUUAG
This 1338-nucleotide long non-coding RNA is filed under the name Equus asinus (donkey). RNAcentral describes it as "lncRNA (ENSEASG00005026646.1)". The record is from RNAcentral. Lineage: Eukaryota; Metazoa; Chordata; Mammalia; Perissodactyla; Equidae.